UGAUCUAGGAUCAGUUGGUUAUGGAGCUGUGCUUGUAACUCAGAGGUUGCUGGUUCAAAUCCCAGGUGGGGUAG
Non-coding RNA from Albula goreensis, 74 nucleotides. Lineage: Eukaryota; Metazoa; Chordata; Actinopteri; Albuliformes; Albulidae. The record is from the annotation of a GenBank genome assembly.